GAUGAAGAACGCAGCGAAAUGCGAUACUUGGUGUGAAUUGCAGAAUCCCGUGAACCAUCGAGUCUUUGAACGCAAGUUGCGCCCGAAGCCAUUAGGCCGAGGGCACGCCUGCCUGGGCGUCACACGUCGUUGCCCCCCCAUCUACUCCUUCGGGAUUGCGGGGGGCGGAUGAUGGCCUCCCGUGCGCCUCGUCGCGCGGUUGGCAUAAAUACCAAGUCCUCGGCGACGCACGCCACGACAAUCGGUGGUUGCGAAACCUCGGUUGCCCGUCGUGUGCGGUCGUCGCGCAUCGAGGGCUCGAAAAAAUUGCCGGGCUCCGGCUCGGCUUUCAACGCGACCCCAGGUCAGGCGGGGUUACCCGCUGAAUUUAAGUAUAUCAAUAAGCGGAGGA
Molecule: unclassified non-coding RNA, 391 nt
Filed under: soil metagenome
Description: partial contains 5.8S ribosomal RNA, internal transcribed spacer 2, and large subunit ribosomal RNA
Rfam family: 5.8S ribosomal RNA (bases 1-122)
Source: RNAcentral